CAAACAAACACACAACCGCUCCAAGUACACCAGGAAGAGCAUUCAAGUUUGCUUUGAAAUGGGGCCAGGACAAGCUCUGCAAGGAGAAGAGAGAGUUCAAGAACCCAACGGUGAACUAGGAAGGGAGGAAACCCCGACCACUUUGGGGCGAGCAGAGCCCGAGUAAAUGUGCCCGUACCAUGGAAGUGUUGCUACUUCUGUUGUGUCUCAUGGCUGCAGAUGCCUUGGAGGUGAAGAUUAGCCCUUCCCCAUUAAUAGGUCUAGUAUAUAAGGAUGUUGUACUUCACUGUAACUUCACUGUUCAGCAAAGUUUCAAAAAGGAAGAUGUGGCUGUGAAGUGGACCAUGAAAAAAGUGGUAUCUGGAGAAGACAAGCCAGUGUUUCAGUUUGAUGGGAAUCACACAGCAAGUUACCGACAAGGUUCCUCAGUGAAUCCUGAGUUCCUGCCGUAUGGCAUGGCAUCACUCACUCUGUCCAAUGUAACAUUAAUGGAUGAAGGGAUUUAUACAUGUACAGUUUUAGUGAUGCCACAGUAUGGAAAUGGGAAAAUCCAGCUUAAAGUCAGAGCCCAGCCUACAGUUCAGCUCUCUCCCCAAAGUAUAUUGACUGCAGCAGAAGGAGAGAAGACAUUUUCUUGUCAUGUCCGCAACUUCUUCCCUCAAAGAAUUAAUGUUUCUUGGUUGGUCCGAAAGCACGGCAGCACAUAUGAUGCACCGUUAUCUUCAGAUAUAUGCACUGGGGUCCCAUCUUCACAUGGCCUUGAUGGUUUGUUCACUGUGCUGAGUCGUGUAACCCAGAUGGUGAAUGAGACAAACAAUGGCUCCCUGUACAUCUGUGAGGUGCAACAUGAGUCCCUGAAGAAACCACUGAGGAAGAAUACAACAUUGUUGGUCACAGCACCCAUACCUUAUCAUCAGGACAAAGGAUUUAUCAUCGGGGUGGCCAUUGCUUGCAUCGUGAUCACAGGUUUAUGCAGCAUAUUUGUAACCAUAUUUUAUCAGCAGCGCCUUGCUAAAGUGGAACCUCAAGUUUCAUCAAUCAUUAAGCCAGACCUGAUUCCAGUUAAUGAAAAAAUCAAACUGAUAUGCAACAUCAAUGGAUUCAGACCCAAAACAAUCCAGGUGAAAUGGUACCGAAAACAUACACACACGGCAUCAACAGAAGAUCCUGCAAGAGAAGAUGUAGCUCUUUCUGAUGCUAGAGAAGAUAUGACAAGUAUGGCUCAGCAACCCUUGGAAGCCAAUGGCCGGGUUUAUAGCAUCUCCUCCUGCCUAACUUACACACCUACUAUAAAGGACAAUGGGAUGGAAUUUGAAUGCAGCAUCCAGCACAGCACUCUCAAGAGCCCAAUAUGGAAGGCCACGGUCAUUUAUGUUACUGCUCGCCCAGCAACUCAUUACAUCUUCAGUUCACCUCAACUCCCUGUCCAGGGAGAGAAGCUCAUUCUGACCUGUGUUGUGGAGAAAUUUUAUCCAAAGAAUAUUGCUUUGGUUUGGUUUCGAAAUGGACAUCCAGUUGAAGAGGUGACACAGUUUGGACCGUUUCCUUGUGAGAGCGAUUUUUACAGUGUGUGGAGUCAAACUGAAUUUACCCUGACCAAAGACAAUGAAGGAGCCAUUUAUACUUGUCAGAUCCACCACAGCAGCUUUGGAAAUGUAGAGGAACUCUCCUAUGAAAUAAAUUUGCAAGGAACACCUCCAGAAGUCCUUUGGAUCACUCCAGAUCCAUCAAGUCCUGUGCCAGGAGAAGAGCUAAGGCUGAACUGUAGAAUCAAUAACUUUUCCCCUAAUCUUAUCAGUGUGAACUGGUUCAAAGAUGGGGAGCUGCUCCAUGAGCAGAUCUGUCACUCAGUCGCUGUUGUUGGCACCAAUGGCUUGUUCUCCAUGUGGAGCCUGCUGAGAGUUAUCCCAGAGCAUGGGGCAAAAAAGGCUGUGUAUAAAUGCAGAGUGGAACAUGGAGCCCUGAAAGAAUGCAUAGAAAGAUUAUACAUGUUGCAGUUACCUACUGCAUUCUGCUAAAUUGAUAACAUCCUUGAACAAAUCCUUGUUUUGCUGUGAUGAACUAACAUGGCUACCUUCUUGAGAAUUUCCACAAACACAACAUGUAAAAAAAAAGGUAUGCCAAAGGGUGCUUUGAUAAAGUGUUGUAGUGGUGAUGUAUGAGCUAAAAUGUGAUCUGGACAGAGCAUUUGGACUCUCUUUCCUUGUAGGAGGAAGGCAGCAUACUUUGGCUUUUGGCCUGAGAUCUUCAUCUGUAAAAAUACCCCAUAGGGUGGCAGAGAGAUUAAAUUCUGCUUACAGCA
Non-coding RNA from Anolis sagrei ordinatus, 2302 nucleotides. The record is from the annotation of a RefSeq genome assembly. NCBI's taxonomy places the organism in Eukaryota, Metazoa, Chordata, Lepidosauria, Squamata, Anolidae.